GAUGAAGAACGCAGCGAAAUGCGAUAAGUAAUGUGAAUUGCAGAAUUCAGUGAAUCAUCGAAUCUUUGAACGCACAUUGCGCCCGCCAGUAUUCUGGCGGGCAUGCCUGUUCGAGCGUCAUUACAACCCUCAGGCCCCCGGGCCUGGCGUUGGGGAUCGGCGGAGCCCCCCGUGGGCACACGCCGUCCCCCAAAUGCAGUGGCGGUCCCGCCGCAGCUUCCAUCGCGUAGUAGCUAACACCUCGCAACAGGAGCCCGGCGCGGUCCACUGCCGUAAAACCCCCCAACUUUUUAUAGUUGACCUCGAAUCAGGUAGGACUACCCGCUGAACUUAAGCAUAUCAAUAAGCGGAGGA
RNAcentral lists this unclassified non-coding RNA (354 nucleotides) under soil metagenome. RNAcentral describes it as "partial contains 5.8S ribosomal RNA, internal transcribed spacer 2, and large subunit ribosomal RNA". The stretch from base 1 to 120 matches the Rfam family "5.8S ribosomal RNA", at positions 35 to 154 of the family's 154-position model. The record is from RNAcentral.